UUGUUUUUCCCAUUGUAUUUUCCCAUUUUUCCCAUUGUUUUUCCCGUUGUUUUUCCCAUUGUUUUUUCCCAUUGUUGUUUUUCCCAUUGUUUUUCCCACUGUUUUUCCCGCUGUUGUUUUUUCCCGAUUUUCCCGCUGUUGUUUUUCUCAUUGUUGUUUUUCCCAUUGUUGUUUUUCCCGCUGUUGUUUUUUCCCAAUUUUCCCAUUGUCUUUUCCCAUUGUUGUUUUUCCCAUUGUUGUUUUUCCCAUUGUUGUUUUUCUCAUUGUUGUUUUUCCCGCUGUUGUUUUUUCCCGAUUUUCCCACUGUUGUUUUUCCCAUUGUUUUAUUCCCGCUGUUGUUUUAUUCCCGCUGUUGUUUUUCCCGCUGUUGUUUUUCCGGCUGUUUCUCACCGAUCCAUUUGUCGUUGUUGUACCAGGACAGGUUGUCCUUGGUGCUGUCGUAGUACCCGAUCUUCUUGUACACCCCACCUGCGCACGGGUGACAAGGGACAGGUGACACCGGGACAGGUGACACCGGGACAGGUGACACCGGGACAGGUGACACUGGGACAGGUGAGAAUGGACAGGUGACAAUGGACAGGUGACACCGGGACAGGUGACACCGGGACAGGUGACAAUGGACAGGUGACAAUGGACAGGUGACACCGGGACAGGUGACACUGGGACAGGUGACACCGGGACAGGUGACACCUUGAGGACACCAGGACAGGUGACACUGGGAUGGGUGACACCUUGGGGACAAUGGACAGGUGACACCAGACAGGUGACACCGGGACAGGUGACACUGGGACAGGUGACACCGGGACAGGUGAGAAUGGACAGGUGACACCUUGGGGACAAUGGACAGGUGACAAUGGACAGGUGACACCUUGGGGACACCAGGACAGGUGACAAUGGACAGGUGACACCGGGACAGGUGACACCGGGACAGGUGACAAUGGACAGGUGACACUGGGACAGGUGGCACCGGGACAGGUGACAAGGGACAGGUGACAAGGGACAGGUGACAAUGGACAGGUGACACCGGGACAGGUGGCACCGGGACAGGUGACAAAGGACAGGUGACACCUUGAGGAGAAUGGACAGGUGACACCAGGACAAGUGACAAUGGACAGGUGACAAUGGACAGGUGACACCUUGGGGACACCAGCACAGGUGACACCAGGGGGUGGCACCGGUGGCACUUGAGGACAUCCAUGGGUGGUGGAGCCAGAGGGGGUUGGUGUCACCUGAAGGUCCCUGAAUGUCACCCAAA
RNAcentral lists this long non-coding RNA (1255 nucleotides) under Parus major (Great Tit). RNAcentral's name for it is "lncRNA (ENSPMJG00000003925.1)". The record is from RNAcentral. Lineage: Eukaryota; Metazoa; Chordata; Aves; Passeriformes; Paridae.